Molecule: non-coding RNA, 150 nt
Organism: Gorilla gorilla gorilla (western lowland gorilla)
Lineage: Eukaryota; Metazoa; Chordata; Mammalia; Primates; Hominidae
Rfam family: Metazoan signal recognition particle RNA
About the family: The signal recognition particle (SRP) is a universally conserved ribonucleoprotein. It is involved in the co-translational targeting of proteins to membranes. The eukaryotic SRP consists of a 300-nucleotide 7S RNA and six proteins: SRPs 72, 68, 54, 19, 14, and 9.
Source: Rfam
GCCAGAUAUGGUGGUGCAUGCCUGUAGUCCUAGCUACUUGGGAGGCUGAGGCAGGAGAAUUGCUUGAGCCCGGGAGUUUGAGGCUGCAGUAAGAGCUAUGAUUGUGCCACUGCACUGCAACCUGGGCAACAGAGCAAGACCCUGUCUCUU